CCAACGGCCCUUUUUAAGGGCCACUAAAUAGGUUUAAACAAAACAGG
Xiphophorus maculatus (southern platyfish) is the source of this 47-nucleotide non-coding RNA. Lineage: Eukaryota; Metazoa; Chordata; Actinopteri; Cyprinodontiformes; Poeciliidae. The record is from Rfam.